This 253-nucleotide ribosomal RNA is filed under the name uncultured bacterium. RNAcentral describes it as "partial 16S ribosomal RNA". It matches the Rfam family "Bacterial small subunit ribosomal RNA", at positions 524 to 776 of the family's 1533-position model. The record is from RNAcentral.
UACGUAGGGUGCGAGCGUUGUCCGGAAUUACUGGGCGUAAAGAGCUCGUAGGUGGUUUGUCGCGUUGUCCGUGAAAACUCACAACUCAAUUGUGGGCGUGCGGGCGAUACGGGCAGACUGGAGUACUGCAGGGGAGACUGGAAUUCCUGGUGUAGCGGUGGAAUGCGCAGAUAUCAGGAGGAACACCGGUGGCGAAGGCGGGUCUCUGGUCCGUUACUGACACUGAGGCGCGAAAGCGUGGGGAGCAAACAGG